Molecule: unclassified non-coding RNA, 341 nt
Filed under: soil metagenome
Description: partial contains 5.8S ribosomal RNA, internal transcribed spacer 2, and large subunit ribosomal RNA
Rfam family: 5.8S ribosomal RNA (bases 1-120)
Source: RNAcentral
GAUGAAGAACGCAGCGAAAUGCGAUAAGUAGUGUGAAUUGCAGAAUUCAGUGAAUCAUCGAAUCUUUGAACGCACAUUGCGCCCUUUGGUAUUCCAAAGGGCAUGCCUGUUCGAGCGUCAUUUGUACCCUCAAGCUUUGCUUGGUGUUGGGCGUCUUGUCUCUAGCUUUGCUGGAGACUCGCCUUAAAGUAAUUGGCAGCCGGCCUACUGGUUUCGGAGCGCAGCACAAGUCGCACUCUCUAUCAGCAAAGGUCUAGCAUCCAUUAAGCCUUUUUUUCAACUUUUGACCUCGGAUCAGGUAGGGAUACCCGCUGAACUUAAGCAUAUCAAUAAUCGGAGGA